CGAAAUCGGUAGACGCUACGGACUUAAAAUCCGUUGACUUUUAAAAUCGUGAGGGUUCAAGUCCCUCUAUCCCC
This 74-nucleotide transfer RNA is filed under the name Neuontobotrys tarapacanus. Its description in RNAcentral is "Neuontobotrys tarapacana partial tRNA-Leu". It matches the Rfam family "tRNA", at positions 11 to 70 of the family's 71-position model. Rfam says of the family: Transfer RNA (tRNA) molecules are approximately 80 nucleotides in length. Their secondary structure includes four short double-helical elements and three loops (D, anti-codon, and T loops). The record is from RNAcentral. RNAcentral also lists the same sequence under 1 other name. Lineage: Eukaryota; Viridiplantae; Streptophyta; Magnoliopsida; Brassicales; Brassicaceae.